UUGGGGUUCUCUGGCUGGAAGGAAUAUGCCCUUCGAAGGUUCUGGGCUGCCGAGGAGAAGUCACACAGCUGGAUGAAGGCCUCAGCCCUCCAGGCAUAGAAGUCCACCUGAAGGAACACUUGGCUGGUCCCAAAGAUGCGCUUCAGGGUUCCCUUUGAAACUGGAAUAACCUGUGGCUUUGGGAUGUCCUCUGAGGGAACCUGGUCAAUUGCCAGAGCAUCCUAGAACCAAGGGACAGCAGGCUUUCUCCACCAGCCACCCAAGCCGGAGACCCAUGACCCAACAGCUCUCAAGCCCUGUCUGUUCCACUGCCUCAAAAUCGGUCAGAUGGCUCCUCUUCUCUCGUCCCACGGUCUGGG
Ictidomys tridecemlineatus (thirteen-lined ground squirrel) is the source of this 359-nucleotide non-coding RNA. Lineage: Eukaryota; Metazoa; Chordata; Mammalia; Rodentia; Sciuridae. The record is from RefSeq and is a predicted model, not a curated record.